AACAAUAGUUUGCAGCUUAUGGGAAAUUCUCACAUGACAUUUGGAACUAUAGUAUACUAUUGUUGCAGAAAACAUAUAUCAGAGCUGCAGCUUAGGAUGUAAGCCGGCAAUGUGGAAAUUGGAUAGCUUAACCACAUAUCUAUUCCUCAUGGAGAAAGCUCAAACCCUGGUGAGUUCAUGUUAUCUCUUCUGGGAGAGGGCAGUGGAUGCCGAUUCCUAAUGUUUCUCUCGAUAUUUCUAAGUACUCCAAUGUCUUUGUAGGCAUGUCACAAGGCUCUCUUAAAAUGGUCAAUGAUCCACUGCCAGUACAAAAA
RNAcentral lists this long non-coding RNA (314 nucleotides) under Setaria italica (foxtail millet). Its description in RNAcentral is "long non-coding RNA (SITA_LNC002219)". The record is from RNAcentral. Lineage: Eukaryota; Viridiplantae; Streptophyta; Magnoliopsida; Poales; Poaceae.